AGGAGCUAUGCCAGCUGACAAAGGAGAAAAGGAAAAUCAAUCAAUAGUCCAACUCAGAUAAGUAUAGCUCUCAACCCUCAUCAAUGAAACUAAUACACACCAUUACAUAAAACCAUAACUGGUCAAAAUGUGAAGAACAACUGUAUAUGAGACUAUGCCCAACCAAGAACAAAAGUAGCAACACUUCUACAAUGAAGACUGGAGGAACUUCAUGGAACAGGAGGUAGAAAGAUUUUCAGGACCAGGGAACCAGGAUUGGAAUUUUGCUCUGAGACAGUAUCUUCUAUACAUGACAGAAAGGAGUCCAAAGAGAAGUGUUGCUCCCAGAAUCCUAGACUGAACUCCACAAAGCACAUCCAGAUAACUGAUUCAGAACUAAUAGGUAGGGGCUUAAUACUUCUACCCAAUUAUUUGAAGAAUCACUAGUAAUCACUGUUCAAAGUCAUUAGCACACAUUGUUGUUCUGGUUAUGCCUGAGUGAAGUCUGUGUUUCUCUUUCUCACUCAUGGUUUCCUUCAACAGGACCGAGUCAUUAGUUAAAUUAUAUAAAUACUACUUUAUUUACCUUCUUCAAUUGUUCGCCUCCCCAGCUUAAAACAGAAGUCAAGCCUGACUCUAAGCUGCAGACACUGGAAGUAUAACACAUUCUCUUGGUUUCUCAUUUUCCCCUUUGGUAUUCAAAAAUAUACUUUCCGGCUUUUGUCUGUGCCUAAAUAUCAGAAAGAUUCAA
Molecule: non-coding RNA, 730 nt
Organism: Peromyscus maniculatus bairdii (prairie deer mouse)
Lineage: Eukaryota; Metazoa; Chordata; Mammalia; Rodentia; Cricetidae
Source: RefSeq, a predicted model, not a curated record